Molecule: ribosomal RNA, 269 nt
Filed under: Salmonella enterica subsp. enterica
Lineage: Bacteria; Pseudomonadati; Pseudomonadota; Gammaproteobacteria; Enterobacterales; Enterobacteriaceae
Description: partial 23S ribosomal RNA
Rfam family: Bacterial large subunit ribosomal RNA
Source: RNAcentral
AUCUGCGAUAAGCGCCGGUAAGGUGAUAUGAACCGUUAUAACCGGCGAUACCCGAAUGGGGAAACCCAGUGUGAUUCGUCACACUAUCAUUAACUGAAUCCAUAGGUUAAUGAGGCGAACCGGGGGAACUGAAACAUCUAAGUACCCCGAGGAAAAGAAAUCAACCGAGAUUCCCCCAGUAGCGGCGAGCGAACGGGGAGGAGCCCAGAGCCUGAAUCAGCAUGUGUGUUAGUGGAAGCGUCUGGAAAGGCGCGCGAUACAGGGUGACA